AGUCACUGACAUUAGAUACCCGCGUAGUCCAGGGUGUAAACGCUGCAGACUUGGUGUUGGAGCCGUUUGGGGCAUUCAGUGCCGGAGAGAAGUUGUUAAGUCUGCUACGUUGGGAGUACGUCCGCAAGGAUGAAACUUAAAGGAAUUGGCGGGGGAGCACCGCAACGGGAGGAGCGUGCGGUUUAAUUGGAUUCAACACCGUAAACUCACCAGGGAAGACUGUUACAUGAAGGCCGAGAUGAAGACUCUGCUAGAUUUUCAG
This 262-nucleotide ribosomal RNA is filed under the name uncultured archaeon. RNAcentral describes it as "partial 16S ribosomal RNA". It matches the Rfam family "Archaeal small subunit ribosomal RNA", at positions 716 to 982 of the family's 1478-position model. The record is from RNAcentral.